RNAcentral lists this ribosomal RNA (466 nucleotides) under uncultured bacterium. RNAcentral's name for it is "partial 16S ribosomal RNA". It matches the Rfam family "Bacterial small subunit ribosomal RNA", at positions 28 to 507 of the family's 1533-position model. The record is from RNAcentral.
GAUGAACGCUGGCGGCGUGCUUAACACAUGCAAGUCGAACGGAAAGGCCACAGCUUGCUGUGGUACUCGAGUGGCGAACGGGUGAGUAACACGUGGGUGAUCUGCCCUGUACUUCGGGAUAAGCUUGGGAAACUGGGUCUAAUACCGGAUAGGAAUCACAUGUGGGUGUGUGGUUGUAAAGCUUUUGCGGUAUGGGAUGAGCUCGCGGCCUAUCAGCUUGUUGGUGGGGUAAUGGCCUACCAAGGCGUCGACGGGUAGCCGGCCUGAGAGGGUGUACGGCCACAUUGGGACUGAGAUACGGCCCAGACUCCUACGGGAGGCAGCAGUGGGGAAUAUUGCACAAUGGGCGCAAGCCUGAUGCAGCGACGCCGCGUGGGGGAUGACGGCCUUCGGGUUGUAAACUCCUUUCGUCAGGGACGAAGCGAAAGUGACGGUACCUGGAGAAGAAGCACCGGCUAACUACGUG